AAGACUAUACUUUCAGGGAUCAUUUCUAUAGUUUGUUACUAGAGAAAUCUCACUGAUCGUGUAGAGCACCGAAAACCACGAGGAGGAGGUGCAGCAUUUUCCUCUGAGCGUGAAGCUGGCAAUUGGUGUUGCUUUUUAGCAGCUGCCUCUUGCCAUUGAUGAUCGUUCUUCUCUCCCUUUGGGAGAGUAAGAGGGGGAGGAUGCAGUCUGAGUGGU
Molecule: small nucleolar RNA, 216 nt
Organism: Perognathus longimembris pacificus (Pacific pocket mouse)
Lineage: Eukaryota; Metazoa; Chordata; Mammalia; Rodentia; Heteromyidae
Product: small nucleolar RNA U3
Exons: 1
Source: RefSeq, a predicted model, not a curated record